GCACCGAUAGCUCAAUUGGAUAGAGUACCCGGCUNNGGUUACAGGUUCGAGUCCUGUUCGGUGCG
RNAcentral lists this transfer RNA (65 nucleotides) under Parachlamydiales bacterium. RNAcentral describes it as "tRNA-Ser". It matches the Rfam family "tRNA". Rfam says of the family: Transfer RNA (tRNA) molecules are approximately 80 nucleotides in length. The record is from RNAcentral. Lineage: Bacteria; Pseudomonadati; Chlamydiota; Chlamydiia; Parachlamydiales.